GAUGAAGAACGCAGCGAAAUGCGAUAAGUAAUGUGAAUUGCAGAAUUCAGUGAAUCAUCGAAUCUUUGAACGCACAUUGCGCCCCCUGGUAUUCCGGGGGGCAUGCCUGUUCGAGCGUCAUUUCAACCCUCAAGCUCUGCUUGGUAUUGGGCGUCGCCGGGGAGUCUCCCCGGCGUGCCUCAAAGCCAUCGGCGGUGGUGCCUUUCUCUAAGCGUGGUAGAAUUUUUAUUCGCUUCUGAGUUGGGCUUCGCCUGCCGGACAGACCGGGCCCUCGCGGCCCACCUUCUCAGGUUGACCUCGGAUCAGGUAGGGAUACCCGCUGAACUUAAGCAUAUCAAUAAGCGGAGGA
Molecule: unclassified non-coding RNA, 349 nt
Filed under: soil metagenome
Description: partial contains 5.8S ribosomal RNA, internal transcribed spacer 2, and large subunit ribosomal RNA
Rfam family: 5.8S ribosomal RNA (bases 1-120)
Source: RNAcentral